RNAcentral lists this ribosomal RNA (397 nucleotides) under uncultured bacterium. RNAcentral describes it as "partial 16S ribosomal RNA". It matches the Rfam family "Bacterial small subunit ribosomal RNA", at positions 523 to 918 of the family's 1533-position model. The record is from RNAcentral.
AUACGUAGGGGGCGAGCGUUGUCCGGAAUGAUUGGGCGUAAAGGGCGCGUAGGCGGCGCGGUAAGUCUGGAGUGAAAGUCCUGCUUUCAAGGUGGGAAUUGCUUUGGAUACUGCCGCGCUUGAGGGCAGGAGAGGUUAUCGGAAUUCCCGGUGUAGCGGUGAAAUGCGUAGAGAUCGGGAGGAACACCAGUGGCGAAGGCGGGUAACUGGACUGCAACUGACGCUGAGGCGCGAAAGUGUGGGGAGCAAACAGGAUUAGAUACCCUGGUAGUCCACACUGUAAACGAUGAAUGCUAGGUGUAAGAGGUAUCGACCCCUUUUGUGCCGGAGUCAACACAAUAAGCAUUCCGCCUGGGGAGUACGGCCGCAAGGUUGAAACUCAAAGGAAUUGACGGGG